GAUAUUGCACAAUGGGGGAAACCCUGAUGCAGCCAUGCCGCGUGUGUGAAGAAGGCCUUCGGGUUGUAAAGCACUUUCAGUAGGGAGGAAAGGUAAUAACUUAAUACGCUAUUGCUGUGACGUUACCUACAGAAGAAGGACCGGCUAACUCCGUGCCAGCAGCCGCGGUAAUACGGAGGGUCCGAGCGUUAAUCGGAAUUACUGGGCGUAAAGCGUGCGCAGGCGGUUUGUUAAGCGAGAUGUGAAAGCCCCGGGCUCAACCUGGGAAUUGCAUUUCGAACUGGCGAACUAGAGUCUUGUAGAGGGGGGUAGAAUUCCAGGUGUAGCGGUGAAAUGCGUAGAGAUCUGGAGGAAUACCGGUGGCGAAGGCGGCCCCCUGGACAAAGACUGACGCUCAGGCACGAAAGCGUGGGGAGCAAACAGGAUUAGAUACCCUGGUAGUCCACGCCGUAAACGAUGUCUACUCGGAGUUUGGUGUCUUGAACACUGGGCUCUCAAGCUAACGCAUUAAGUAGACCGCCUGGGGAGUACGGCCGCAAGGUUAAAACUCAAAUGAAUUGACGGGGGCCGGC
Molecule: ribosomal RNA, 572 nt
Filed under: Shewanella sp.
Lineage: Bacteria; Pseudomonadati; Pseudomonadota; Gammaproteobacteria; Alteromonadales; Shewanellaceae
Description: bacterial SSU rRNA
Rfam family: Bacterial small subunit ribosomal RNA
Source: RNAcentral